UACGGAGGAUGCAAGCGUUAUCCGGAUUCAUUGGGUUUAAAGGGUGCGCAGGUUGGCUUUUAAGUCAGUGGUGAAAUGCUGCCGCUUAACGGUAGAAUUGCCAUUGAUACUGAGAGUCUUGAAUAUGGUUGAGGUAGGCGGAAUGUGUUGUGUAGCGGUGAAAUGCAUAGAUAUGACACAGAACACCGAUUGCGAAGGCAGCUUACUAAGCCAUUAUUGACGCUGAGGCACGAAAGCGUGGGGAGCGAACAGGAUUAGAUACCCUGGUAGUCCACGCUGUAAACGAUGUUCACUCGCUGUCUGCGAUACACAGUAGGCGGCUGAGCGAAAGCAUUAAGUGAACCACCUGGGGAGUACGAUCGCAAGGUUGAAACUCAAAGGAAUUGACGGGGGCCCGCACAAGCGGAGGAACAUGUGGUUUAAUUCGAUGAUACGCGAGGAACCUUACCUGGGCUUAAAUGUAGAUUGCAUGGGGUAGAAAUAUCCCUUCCCUUCGGGGCUAUUUACAAGGUGCUGCAUGGUUGUCGUCAGCUCGUGCCGUGAGGUGUCGGGUUAAGUCCCAUAACGAGCGCAACCCUUACCGUUAGUUGCCAUCGGGUCAAGCCGGGGACUCUAGCGGGACUGCCACCGUAAGGUGAGAGGAAGGUGGGGAUGACGUCAAAUCAGCACGGCCCUUAUGUCCAGGGCUACACACGUGUUACAAUGGCAGGUACAAAGGGCAGCUACCGGGUGACCGGAUGCUAAUCCCAAAAGCCUGUCCCAGUUCGGAUUGGAGUCUGCAACCCGACUCCAUGAAGUUGGAUUCGCUAGUAAUCGCGCAUCAGCCAUGGCGCGGUGAAUACGUUCCCGGGCCU
RNAcentral lists this ribosomal RNA (854 nucleotides) under uncultured bacterium. Its description in RNAcentral is "SSU rRNA". It matches the Rfam family "Bacterial small subunit ribosomal RNA", at positions 524 to 1381 of the family's 1533-position model. The record is from RNAcentral.